RNAcentral lists this ribosomal RNA (425 nucleotides) under Megascolex sp. 3 PK-2012. RNAcentral's name for it is "partial 12S ribosomal RNA". Lineage: Eukaryota; Metazoa; Annelida; Clitellata; Crassiclitellata; Megascolecidae. The record is from RNAcentral.
CUGUAAAACGCGGUUUGGACCCCGGCUAGAUACCUGCUCUUUCUUACUAUAAAGAAGAGACUGCCAAUGUGAAAACAUCUUAAAAAUUAUACGAAUUAAGUUUGUAUCCAAGGAAAUUUGGGGCACAAGCCUUAAAUCUGGGCAGUCCAAGCUCACUCAACCAUCACAUCUUGUUUACCGCCUUUGUAAGCGUCCCAAUUAAACCCAAAGAGGGGGGUUAGUGUCCAGAAACAACUUGUCUCAUAUACAUCAGGUCGAAGUGCAGUCAAUGAAAAGGAGCUGAUGGGUUACAACCUAAAAAAAGACAUGAAUUAAGAAAUAAAAAAUUUUAUGAAAGUGGACUUGACUGUAAUUAAACAGCAUAUUAAAAAAAUGAAAACAAAUCUAAGACAUGUACACAUCGCCCGCACUCUAGCGAAUUAUUG